RNAcentral lists this ribosomal RNA (483 nucleotides) under uncultured bacterium. RNAcentral's name for it is "bacterial SSU rRNA". It matches the Rfam family "Bacterial small subunit ribosomal RNA", at positions 40 to 524 of the family's 1533-position model. The record is from RNAcentral.
CGGCAGGCCUAACACAUGCAAGUCGAGGGGUAGAGUUCUUCGGAACUUGAGACCGGCGCACGGGUGCGUAACGCGUAUGCAAUCUACCUUAUACAGGGGAAUAGCCCAGAGAAAUUUGGAUUAAUGCCCCAUAGUGUUAUUGAAUCGCAUGGUUUAAUAACUAAAGUUCCAACGGUAUAAGAUGAGCAUGCGUCCCAUUAGUUAGUUGGUAAGGUAACGGCUUACCAAGACAAUGAUGGGUAGGGGUCCUGAGAGGGAGAUCCCCCACACUGGUACUGAGACACGGACCAGACUCCUACGGGAGGCAGCAGUGAGGAAUAUUGGUCAAUGGGCGCAAGCCUGAACCAGCCAUGCCGCGUGCAGGAAGACGGUCCUAUGGAUUGUAAACUGCUUUUAUACAGGAAGAAACAACUCCACGUGUGGAGGCUUGACGGUACUGUAGGAAUAAGGAUCGGCUAACUCCGUGCCAGCAGCCGCGGUAAU